GGUCGCUUGGUCUAGAGGUAUGAUUCUACCUUCGGGUGGUAGAGGUCACGAGUUCGAUUCUCGUAGCGACCCCCG
RNAcentral lists this transfer RNA (75 nucleotides) under Acidimicrobiaceae bacterium. RNAcentral describes it as "tRNA-Pro". It matches the Rfam family "tRNA". Rfam says of the family: Transfer RNA (tRNA) molecules are approximately 80 nucleotides in length. Their secondary structure includes four short double-helical elements and three loops (D, anti-codon, and T loops). Lineage: Bacteria; Bacillati; Actinomycetota; Acidimicrobiia; Acidimicrobiales; Acidimicrobiaceae. The record is from RNAcentral.